Molecule: non-coding RNA, 417 nt
Filed under: Pectobacterium atrosepticum SCRI1043
Lineage: Bacteria; Pseudomonadati; Pseudomonadota; Gammaproteobacteria; Enterobacterales; Pectobacteriaceae
Source: RNAcentral
AGAUUAUUAAUCGUGGUAUCCAGCGGUUUGAUGUACAGGCUGUUAUUAUUCAGCGCGAUAUCGCCACUGGCGCGGACAUCGUCACCGACAAGCGGAAUAUCCAGAUGCAGUGUGCCUUUCACCGGCCCGCCAAUUUUCAGCUCAUCCAGCGCGGUACCCAGCGAGGAUUUCAGCGGCGUCUGAUGAAAAUAAUUACCCACUUCAGGCCCUGGACCAUCCAGUUCGCCAUCAAUAAGCAGCAUCUCUUUUUCAUAAUCAGGAAUGACCGCGCUAAUAUUUUUGCCUUCCACCUUACCCAGCCAGAUUUGCGGCGCAAACAUCCACAGACCGUUAUUGGCAAAAUCCAAAUUGAUAUCCAGCGGCGUCAGCGCAGGCCAGCCCGGCUGGAACUCAAAGGUGGCAUCCUUAACCGGCACC